Molecule: long non-coding RNA, 3327 nt
Organism: Cygnus olor (mute swan)
Lineage: Eukaryota; Metazoa; Chordata; Aves; Anseriformes; Anatidae
Exons: 3
Source: RefSeq, a predicted model, not a curated record
AGGGAUUGGUACGUUCCGGUUUGCUGCAGUCGAGGCCGUUGGGCAGCGGCGGGAGGGGAGGGAAGAUACCACUUCCACGAAAAAAGGGGAGGAGGGGAGAGAGGGGGGGUUGUUGUUUGAAGGCGCUGCCCCAAAAGCUCUGCCGAGCCGAUCGGCUUCCUCAGUGUAUUCCCAAGCGCGGUUCUCGCCUGGCUUCGUUGGGCCAGGGCGGUGCAGGAGGAGAUAGAAGGGAGGAAAGCCCUCCGAUCCCCCCCCGCCAGACGGAGCUGGUACGGUCCCGCGCGUCCACCUGCAAGGCAGCGGCGGGGAAGCCGGCGGUUCCACUGCUCGGCCGGGGGGGGGGGCGUCCGGAGGGCUUCCCCGGGGCGCUCCCGCUGCGCGAGCGGAGGCGCUCGUUUCCACUGAAAAGUUCCAUUUUUUAGAAGUUACAAUUCCAGAUUAGCCCGAAUUUCAGCGUCCUCCACGUCAAUCGCACACCUCGGGGAAAGCCGGUCGCUAACCCCCGGAGCCCGGCGCCGGGGCGGUGCGCGCUCCCCUCACAGCCCUCUGAGGGGCGGGGGACGGGUUGGGAGCCUGCUGCGGGUCAGCCCAGCCCGAUCGUACUUUAAAAUCCCUCUUAUAACCAAAUAUUCGAACUAGAUUCAUCAGAUGUAACUUAAAUUGAUUUAGACAGAUGUGGUGAGCUAAACCUCGGCUGUCCUGCCUGCACUGAGGGGAUCCCCAGUGGCUGUUGGGAGGCUCAGGCACGGGUGCUGGUGAGGGAGGUAUUUACUCCACAUAAGAAUCUCCUAAGUACCAGACAUGAGGAAAUACAACUCCAAGGUUGUUUGUAGGUGGAAGUAACACUGAAUCUUCAAAGGUGUGCAUUGCAUUUCACCUGCUAUGAAACACAGAUAUGUUUGUAGUAAGCCGGGCAACACGGUGAGUCAGAACAGGAAACAGAUGCAGCUGAAAAUCAAACGGACCAAAAGAAAAGAUUGUUUUUUUCAUCCAGAUCAGUUCCUGAUCCAACUCACUGUGCACUUGUACAGCCAGCACUGCACGAGAAAUGGCAAGGGCAAGAGUGACAGUGGGACCAUACCUUCUGGAAACAGCCCACACUUAAGUUCACUUAAAUUAAAGGUGAAAACAUUCGUGUUCAUUGUGAACUACUAUGGCAGUAUACGAAUUAGCAGAUAUUUUCAGCAGUCUUAGGUAUUACCUCUCUCUACAAACUUUGCCUGCUGUUUUACAGAAAGAUUACUGGUUAAAGACAGGAAAAAUCUGUCUUUCAAAGGAGCUGUAAUUCAUACCAAGACAGUAUUAUAUACUGUAACAUUCCAAUAUCUGUUUAUUGCAACUCUUUGUUCUACUGCCACAAGAGGUUUGUAUUAACUAUAUCCUAGAGAUUUGUCUAGAUUAGGAUUUAAAUGUUUGGGCAGACAUCAGAAUGUAUCAGGUAAUUCAUUUCAACUGUUAGAGUUGAGCAUAUACUUCAUGAACUAAAUAUUAAUGAGCAAAAUAAAUUUUAAAUAUAAAAGCUUAGAAGGAAAAUAUAUAUAAAAUCAAAACUGUCUGAAUACAUUUUUUCUUUGCCAGGUUUCAGUUCAGUUUUUACAGGGGCAUUACUUAAGCCAAAAACCCAAGGACCUACGACGUAACGCUGAUAGGGGAGCUUAAUACAGCAGUGUCAGCAAUCUUUGUAGAAGCAAAGUAAAACAAAUAACUCAAGGUUGGUACAACAGCAAAAGUCAUAAAAAGGUGGAUGUAAACAAAAGAGGUUUAAGGACUCCUGGGAAGGCUAGGAUGUAAAUUUUAAUAGAUAACUGCUUACUUUGUCUUUGAUUGUUUUCUUUGGUUUUCUAGGGUAAAGAGUGUUAAUAAUACUGUGUAGAAGUAAAAUCAGUCAUGUAAAUUAAAUAUGCACUUAUAAUGAAUAUAGUAAAACACAUCUGAUUAUCUAGAUGUCCUUUUAGUCCUGUGUCCUGAUGAAGGAAUUCCUUUAUUUUCAUAAGGACAUUCUAAAUAUUUAAAUUACAUCAUUAACAUCAACAGAAAACUAUUUUUGAUGUAGUUUCCUGCCAGUUUGCCUCCCUGAAUUGGUAGGAAUGCACCUACUGGGAUAGAGGUCUAUCGGUGGCAGUCAUCAGAUCAGACCAGCUAUAUCAGAUGAAGGAGAUUCAUCUCACCUGAGCUUGGACACCUACUGUGUAGCUUUCUGUACUGAAUGAGUUAACCUAGGCUGCUGCUUCUACCACCAGUGGAGAAACAGACAUUUCUAGAACGUCAUUCACAUGACCUAUUUUAGACGAGUACUUACGAUAAAAUGAUUUGUGUGCUGGACUCCAGUCGCUGUACUGCCUAGAUCUCCAAAUUGAUUAGGCUCGUUCUACUUAGAAUAUCUAUCUGUAAGGGAAGGUGGGCAGAGAAAAAAUAAACUAGAGGAGAAACUAUAAACUAGUCAGUGUAACUUCGAUUCCAAGACGGAUAAGAGGUAAAAAUACCCCCAUUUUAAGUAGCUAGAGGAAGGGAAGAUCACCGGUAACAGCCAACACAACCACUCUCAGUCACUUUAAUAACAGGUUAGAAGUCUUGUGGUAGGCAGAUGCUGCAUGAGUUAACAGGACUUUUGACACUAUCUUGCACGCCACUUUCCUAAGCAAGCCAGAUAGUCUAGAUGAAACUACUGCUAAAGGUCAGAACCAUACUCACAAGGAAGGUAGUAACGUUUUUUUAUCUAACUGGAAGGGUUUAAGAGAGGAUUCCACAGUGGUCUGUAUUCUGCCUAAUAUAAUUCACCGUUUUCACUGGGGACCUGAUGAAGGGAUAAUGAAUAUAUGCUUUCAGCAGUCAUGCAAAGAAAUGACCAGAGAAUGAAACUAAAUGUGAGACAGCACAAAUUCUUGGAAAAAAAACAUCACACUGUCUACAAAAGUGUUACAGAUAAGACAUGGAAAGUCUGUUCUACACAUCUGCUGGUUAGUUGCCAGCUGGGAUAUUGGAUUUGGUUUGGGGCAUUGAACUCAAGAAUCCAAAGAACUCUAGAGUCUGAAGAAAAGCAACAAUGAUCGUCUAGGAGUAGAGAAGACAUGGCCUCUAAAAAAAGACUUAACCUCCCCAAAAGAAGAGGACUGAAGGAAACUAAAGCCAUAGGUCCCAAAUGUAACAUGUUUUUGCAAGAAGGAAAGUGAUAAACUAUCUUCUGGGUCCCUGGGUUAUGGAAUAAGAAGUUACUUACUUAGCCAUUAGCAAGGAAGUCUUUGGUUGGAAUUUGGGAGAACUUUCUGAAUAUAACGGCAUCCUGGCUUGUAUCGGGAAUAGUGCAGCCAGCAGGACCAGGGAGGUGAU